CCUGCAGGCUUGCUGGACUUGCAAGAAACAGCUUUCUCGUCAGAACCUCUUUAGAAGGGUAGUGCAGCACAAGUCGCUAGCAUGUCCUCUUCCGAGUUCAACUGCCGCGUCACUUUUCUAUUAUUUUUAACUGUGUUGUCAAAUUUUGUAACGUCUAAUGUGUUUUUCCCCGCUGAAACGAACGAAGAGCUGGCUCAUUAUCGGUCAUUAAAAGAUAUCCUCUUUCGGUCGCAAACAGAAGAUACUGCCCGUUCGAUAGAAUCGCCUGUUGUUGCAAGUUUCCGACCAUCCAAUCCCAGCCCAACUCUGGCAUCUUCGCCCCAGAACGGAGCCAGUGUUUCCAAAAUUCGUUCCUUGGAAACUGAUGCAUUCUUUGUUCCUAAUUUUUCUCAGCAUUCACAUGCGGAUUUUAUCCCAUCCACUGCGUUUGCUCAAACUGAGGGAAGGAGGCCGAAUAGAUUACACUCAGUUGCUGAUUACAGAACGGUUUUGACGCAGGCUGCUAUCAACGAAUCCACGGUUGAUGUUAGGGUCGCUGAAGACCCCAGUCAGGAUCGUUGGCCCUGGCCGUACUCAAAAUCCGUCAAACAGACUGUCAGCAUCCAAAGUCGACAACUAGCAAAGCCAACCACCUUAAUCGUUAAAAAAUCGGUAGCCAAGCCUUACCGUCUGCUUGACCAGAACAUCUUCGUGCCCUAAACUGCUGCACGAUUUGACAGUUACCUGUUCAUUACCAAAGCAGCAACAAGAACAAUUUCAAACAGUGGAGUUCCAGUGGUACAAAACACAACACAAGAGCGUGACCGAAACCCAAAAUAAUUUACUGGAUUCCACCAUCAAGAUUCCAAUAGCCUUUGGAACUCAAGUAUUCCAUAAGGAUGCUCGUUAUAUUGCGUCAGUUGCUUCGCACUCGGCGAACCUCACUAUUCGCCAACUUAAACCCCAAGAUUGUGGGUCUUACAUCUGCGAAGCAGUGGACAUCCCCAACGCGACAGUCAUAUCUACUACAGAAUUUUUAGUUUUUCUCUGCUACUAGUUGUCGGUUAUUAGUUAUAGAUGACUGAACGUUAUAAGUCGUUCUAGCAGAUUGUAAAAAAAAGUAAAACUGGAUUUUACUAUUCAUGGUUAUAUACGGAUGUGCGCUUCAAUUGCUUUUUUGUAUCCCAAAUGUUAAAAGAAGAUUAUUACACAAAGAUUAUCAACCAAA
This is an RNA transcript of Daphnia magna, 1207 nucleotides long. RefSeq lists it as uncharacterized. NCBI's taxonomy places the organism in Eukaryota, Metazoa, Arthropoda, Branchiopoda, Diplostraca, Daphniidae. The transcript is spliced from 3 exons. The record is from RefSeq and is a predicted model, not a curated record.